This is a long non-coding RNA of Meriones unguiculatus (Mongolian gerbil), 1416 nucleotides long. RefSeq lists it as uncharacterized. The transcript has 4 exons. NCBI's taxonomy places the organism in Eukaryota, Metazoa, Chordata, Mammalia, Rodentia, Muridae. The record is from RefSeq and is a predicted model, not a curated record.
ACACUAUAGGUGGCGAACGUGCCUCACCGGCCCUGAUCAAGGGGCGCCUCAUGAUGUCCUUGAUGGUGGGCCUCCUGCCGGGAUUGAUUCUCAGUAGAUCGAGGAUGACAUUGGAAAAAUUGAUGGACACGUGGUGAGGAAUUUGAAGGUUGCCCGAGGUGACCUCGUUCUUCAUGCCUGCAAACGAACUGGCCUGGAAAGGGUAACGUCCAGACACCAUGAGGAAGAGCAGAACCCCCAAACACCACACAUCAACGGGAUAAGCUUCAUAUUCGUGCUGUGCAAAGAGUUCUGGGGCACAAUAGGGCCCAGUGCCGCAGAAACCCCGCAGUUUCUGCCCAGGAGUCACUUUGACGGCGAGACUAAAAUCUAUCAGUUUGGAGUUCCCUCUGCAGUCCAACAGGAUGUUCGUGGCUUUAAUGUCUCUGUGGACAACUCGGUUAUCAUGACAGUAAUCCACGGCACGUGCGAUCUGCGUGAAUAUCCUUUGGGCCUCAAUCUCCUCUAAAGGCCCCCGUUCCAGGAUGCGCCUCAGCAGCUCUCCCUCGGAGACGUGCUCCAUCACCAGCAAUCUCCACAGCCGGCUCCUGAUGGAGCAGACUUGGUUGAAGAGGAAGGUGGACAUGCUGAGGCAGGAAAACAAGGAAGUGCAAGAGGAUUGGGCCCUGCUGCAGCACCAGAUGAUGGACCUGCAGCAGAUCUGUGAGGACCAAGAGGAGGAGGCCUGCGACCUCCAGACCCAGGAACUGUCCAAGUGUGCGCACGCCUGUGUGCAACCCUGCACUGAACACCAGCUUGUAGUGAGCAGGAGCGGGAAAGACUGGAGAAGCCCCUGCGGAACGCCAGGAAGCAGAAGCAGCUGGCCUUCCAGGACUGAGCAUUAAGGCUGCAGCAUCAAUUUGAGGAGCUCCAGAUGAGGUCUGAAGAGCUGUGCCUUGAACUGGACCUGGCCAUAGCCCACGAGGAGAGCCUCCUGCAGAAGGAGCUGCUGCACCAGGAGCCACCCGCUGAGCCCCAGGAAACACGGACUUUCUGGGAGGAAUAGUCCUCUUCAGAAUGGGUUUCCCUUGUGUGAACAGGCCCUGAUUCUAUCUAGCCAGUGAGCCAGCCAGGCUGCUUCUGGGUCUGAGUCCCUUUGCUUUUGUGACAACACCCCAUGAGAGAACUGGUGUCUCCUUUGCCACUAAGUGUUCAAGACCAGCCACAGGCUGUGGGUGUGUCCUGCUAAAUCUGCAGUGAGAGAAGGCUGCUGAGCAUCAUUUUCUCUGUGGGUUUUGGUUUUGGUUUUCUUUCUUUGUUGGUGUUUUUUGUUGGGUGUUUUGAUUUUGCCUUUCUUAUUUGGAUUUUACAUAUUCUUGUUAUUGUUUUAUAAAAUUUGGUUAGAGUACUCGCUUUUUAUAUCGACUACCCUUUUAA